GACUACAAGGGUAUCUAAUCCUGUUUGCUCCCCACGCUUUCGUGCAUGAGCGUCAGUAGUGACCCAGGGGGCUGCCUUCGCCAUCGGUAUUCCUCCACAUCUCUACGCAUUUCACUGCUACACGUGGAAUUCUACCCCCCUCUGCCACACUCUAGCCUUGCAGUCUCAAAUGCAGUUCCCAGGUUGAGCCCGGGGAUUUCACAUCUGACUUACAAAACCGCCUGCGCACGCUUUACGCCCAGUAAUUCCGAUUAACGCUCGCACCCUACGUAUUACCGCGGCUGCUGGCACGUAGUUAGCCGGUGCUUCUUAUGCGGGUACCGUCAUCUACUCAGGGUAUUAACCCAAGCAAUUUCUUCCCCACCGAAAGAGCUUUACAACCCGAAGGCCUUCUUCACUCACGCGGCAUGGCUGGAUCAGGCUUGCGCCCAUUGUCCAAAAUUCCCCACUGCAGCCUCCCGUAGG
Molecule: ribosomal RNA, 465 nt
Filed under: uncultured Propionivibrio sp.
Lineage: Bacteria; Pseudomonadati; Pseudomonadota; Betaproteobacteria; Rhodocyclales; Rhodocyclaceae
Description: partial 16S ribosomal RNA
Source: RNAcentral